GGUCGUGAAAGACCAGCUGGAACUAUGUCGAGUGACUCGCCUGGACUUCCACAACUUCCAGCAGUUGACUUACCUGGCAAUCACCCACUCAGGCCUCCGGGAGGUGGAGGACGGCGCCUUCGGUAACUUACCUAAAACUACGCACUCUGGACCUGCGCAAGAACCAGCUCCAUGCGCUCUCUUGGCGCAGUCUGUGGCCUGCGUCACGGCCUGGAGACAAUCUCCGUCACAUCACCACCACGGACAACCCUCUGGAUCCAAGUGACUGUAAAAACAUGUGGCUACAAACCUGGAAGGAGCAGAGCACGGGGCUCGGGAGGCCGCAGCGGACAUGGAGUCAACCAGGCGCCAGGUCUCAACACCAUCUAGGACCUGGAGGAGGAGGAGGAGGAGGAGGACCUGGAAGCGUGACCGGUAGUGGGGUCACAGAGGCAGGAGGGCCUGGUGGUGACCUCCUCUCCGACUCGACAACAGACGACUGCCCGGGUACAGGGCCCGCGACCUCAUCCA
Molecule: non-coding RNA, 510 nt
Organism: Procambarus clarkii (red swamp crayfish)
Lineage: Eukaryota; Metazoa; Arthropoda; Malacostraca; Decapoda; Cambaridae
Source: RefSeq, a predicted model, not a curated record